RNAcentral lists this ribosomal RNA (464 nucleotides) under uncultured bacterium. RNAcentral's name for it is "partial 16S ribosomal RNA". It matches the Rfam family "Bacterial small subunit ribosomal RNA", at positions 28 to 507 of the family's 1533-position model. The record is from RNAcentral.
GACGAACGCUGGCGGCGUGCUUAACACAUGCCAGUCGAACGGAAAGGCCCAGCUUGCUGGGUGCUCGAGUGGCGAACGGGUGAGUAACACGUGGGUGAUCUGCCCCUAACUUCGGGAUAAGCUUGGGAAACUGGGUCUAAUACCGGAUAGGACAAUCGUUUAGUGUCGGUUGUGGAAAGUUUUUUCGGUUAGGGAUGAGCCCGCGGCCUAUCAGCUUGUUGGUGGGGUAAUGGCCUACCAAGGCGUCGACGGGUAGCCGGCCUGAGAGGGUGGACGGCCACAUUGGGACUGAGAUACGGCCCAGACUCCUACGGGAGGCAGCAGUGGGGAAUAUUGCACAAUGGGCGCAAGCCUGAUGCAGCGACGCCGCGUGGGGGAUGACGGCCUUCGGGUUGUAAACCUCUUUCGACAGGGAUGAAGCUUUGGUGACGGUACCUGUAUAAGAAGCACCGGCUAACUACGUG